RNAcentral lists this ribosomal RNA (192 nucleotides) under Triticum aestivum (bread wheat). Its description in RNAcentral is "partial small subunit ribosomal RNA". The record is from RNAcentral. Lineage: Eukaryota; Viridiplantae; Streptophyta; Magnoliopsida; Poales; Poaceae.
AUGCCAUGUCCGUCUUUAAAAUUCCUAAAAAAAAUUGCAAAGGAAUUAUUGACGCGAUGUCGCAGUUUUGGUGGGGUGACGAGGACAAUCAGAAGAGGAUGCAUUGGAUGGCAUGGUGGAAAAUGUGUGUUCCAAAAGAUCAAGGAGGGAUGGGCUUCCGAGAUAUACACUGUUUCAACCUGGCGCUAUUAG